RNAcentral lists this ribosomal RNA (596 nucleotides) under Salmonella enterica subsp. enterica serovar Enteritidis. RNAcentral describes it as "partial 23S ribosomal RNA". It matches the Rfam family "Bacterial large subunit ribosomal RNA", at positions 27 to 666 of the family's 2925-position model. The record is from RNAcentral. Lineage: Bacteria; Pseudomonadati; Pseudomonadota; Gammaproteobacteria; Enterobacterales; Enterobacteriaceae.
GAUGCCCUGGCAGUCAGAGGCGAUGAAGGGCGUGCUAAUCUGCGAUAAGCGCCGGUAAGGUGAUAUGAACCGUUAUAACCGGCGAUACCCGAAUGGGGAAACCCAGUGUGAUUCGUCACACUAUCAUUAACUGAAUCCAUAGGUUAAUGAGGCGAACCGGGGGAACUGAAACAUCUAAGUACCCCGAGGAAAAGAAAUCAACCGAGAUUCCCCCAGUAGCGGCGAGCGAACGGGGAGGAGCCCAGAGCCUGAAUCAGCAUGUGUGUUAGUGGAAGCGUCUGGAAAGGCGCGCGAUACAGGGUGACAGCCCCGUACACAAAAGCGCAUGUGCUGUGAGCUCGAUGAGUAGGGCGGGACACGUGGUAUCCUGUCUGAAUAUGGGGGGACCAUCCUCCAAGGCUAAAUACUCCUGACUGACCGAUAGUGAACCAGUACCGUGAGGGAAAGGCGAAAAGAACCCCGGCGAGGGGAGUGAAAAAGAACCUGAAACCGUGUACGUACAAGCAGUGGGAGCACCCUUUGGGUGUGACUGCGUACCUUUUGUAUAAUGGGUCAGCGACUUAUAUUCUGUAGCAAGGUUAACCGAAUAGGGGAGC